AGCGAACGCUGGCGGCAGGCCUAAUACAUGCAAGUCGAACGCACCUUCGGGUGAGUGGCGGACGGGUGAGUAACGCGUGGGAACGUGCCCUUUGGUACGGAACAACUGAGGGAAACUUCAGCUAAUACCGUAUGUGCCCUUCGGGGGAAAGAUUUAUCGCCAUUGGAGCGGCCCGCGUUGGAUUAGGUAGUUGGUGGGGU
This 200-nucleotide ribosomal RNA is filed under the name uncultured bacterium. RNAcentral describes it as "partial 16S ribosomal RNA". It matches the Rfam family "Bacterial small subunit ribosomal RNA", at positions 29 to 258 of the family's 1533-position model. The record is from RNAcentral.